Molecule: ribosomal RNA, 475 nt
Filed under: uncultured Planctomycetota bacterium
Lineage: Bacteria; Pseudomonadati; Planctomycetota
Description: uncultured planctomycete partial 16S ribosomal RNA
Source: RNAcentral
UACGCGGCUGCUGGCACGAGAUUAGCCGACCCUUCCUCUGGACCCGGUCAGUUCUUCCUAGGUCCUGACAGUGGUUUACACGGCGUAACCGCUUCAUCCCACACGCGGCAUUGCUCCGUCACGCUUUCGCGCAUUGCGGAAGAUUCGUUACUGCAGCCUCCCGUAGGAGUCCGGGCAGUGUCUCAGUCCCGAUGCUGCGGGUCAUGCUCUCACACCCGCUACCCGUCUUUGGCUUGGUGAGCCGUUACCUCACCAACAACCUGAUAGGAAUAUCGCCGCUCCCAAGGCGCCGGAGCUUUCCUCCGUGGAGCUUAUCGAGUAUUACCUGGAGUUUCCCCCAGCUAUCCUCGACCUCGGGGUACGUUCGAUACCGUUACUAGCCCUUUCGCCGGUGUCCACCACCGAAGUGGCUUCUCCCGCGACUUGCAUGUUUUAGCCAUGCCGCCAGCGUUCAAUCUGAGCCAUGAUCAAACUC